Long non-coding RNA from Scylla paramamosain (green mud crab), 2033 nucleotides. RefSeq lists it as uncharacterized. The transcript is spliced from 2 exons. The record is from RefSeq and is a predicted model, not a curated record. Lineage: Eukaryota; Metazoa; Arthropoda; Malacostraca; Decapoda; Portunidae.
ACAUCAGCUGCGGCGUGUAGGACCAUGCCGUGGAAGGCCUGCCAAUCUUAUUAUGUUUAUUUCCAUACGUGUAAGUAUAAAGGAUGUCCCAUGAUGAAAGUCACAUAUUGACAGAAGUUGAAGAUAAAGCCAUUCUACGCCACCAUUAGGAUGACAAUAAGGUGACAGAAUAAAAAAAACAACACAUUCUGUUCACAAGAGGCAUCAUCACCACGACCACCACCACCAUCACCUCCACCACCACCACCACCUCAGACAACUCUAACCCCAGUUUCCAGCUGCCGCGGUACUCAGGUUGCUAACGUCGAGACAAUAGAGAGCUUUCAAAGAAGAUUAAGGAGAUUAAUGAAUGAGGCUGAGAAGUGAAUAUGGGUAGAUAUAUUUGUAUAUACCAUAUACAGGAACUGCCACGUGUACAGCUGAUGGCUACUUGCAACUUCCCUUAUUUUCAGAUGUUCUUAAGACCAUCUUUCUCGUAAAAAGCGAAGACAAGACUGUGACCACGACAGACUGCAAGUAUUUAUGACACAACGUUUGUUACAGUGUAUUCGAGAACUUGAGCCAUAAGCUUCUCCUACACGAGGAUGCAUCUCCGUUCUCCCUUCUUAUUGGGGGAGGAAAUUCAGUGAAAUCGUGCACUCAGAAGCGCUUCAUUGUUACUUUAAUAACACACCAUACAUGUCCUUCGACAGCGUGAAAGUUAUCAAUUCAUCAUUCAGAUUUAGUUCUAGAGUAAAUGUUUUAUGAAUUGAACACAAAAUUAGGUCAAAUACACAUUUAUUGAAGAAGAGAUACGAUGAUUUAUUUAAAAAGGUUUAUAAAAUUCUGCGUAAGUGAGAAAAUGAAAUUAAUCACUCCACGGCGCCUGUGAUCCAUUUCAAGUCAAACAUACAAAUUUUGACCUGAGAGGAUUGAAUGGGAUCACCAGGGAUUAUAUCGCUGCCGGCCACGCCAACGCCUUCAGGUGAGAUGGUGGGGUGGCAGGUACACUGUUGCCACACACACCGUGUGUAAUGACACACACGGUGUCAUUACAGGAAAGCAUGCUCGUAAACAACCAUAUCCCUUCAUUCUACCAUGCUCAUGCUGACAUGUGUGUUUUAAGAGAACCAACUGCAGACUAAUAGGGAUCCUUGAAGAAGCUUCAACUGUCACAGUAAACACACGCCCGCGCCACCACAGGUGUGGCUCCAAGCAUUAUCGCCACGCAGACGAUUCCACACGUGCAUACUGAUCUCAGAGUUAGAUGGUAAAAGUAAAAUAUCCACAAGCCUGCUCUCUUCAUCUUCAUUCCUCCCUUCCAGCGAAAUAGAAAGGACUGUGAUAUAAAUGCCACAACUGACAAAAAGAUGCCACUCUAUGUAAUUAACGCAUUAAUCUAUAGAGAAAUAAAAACUUACGCCUUUUUCUUCUUGCAAAACAGAGUCAGUGUCAUGUGCAGGCACACGCGGGUGAGUAUCGUUCCUUGUAAUCAGUUCCAGUAUUCAUGUAGGCACCUGGCAUGGGGCAUUAUGACUGGCCUCAUUAUAAAAGGAGGACGGAGCCUCACACCACACCACACUCAUCUCGCCACACGCGGCGCCAUGAGAACACUCAAUGUCUUCCUGGUGGUGGCUGUGUUCCUCACGGCGCUGCUGGUGGUGCAAGCCAUGCCCACUUUCUCCCCUGAAACAGAGCCUUACGCCGCCGCCCCUGGUCCUCAGUUUUCGUAUAUUCCUGGUGGGUAUACCAGGGGUUAUCGUCCGUACUACCAAUCCCACCACCCCCACCACCACAUCCGACACUACCACCCUUACCGCCACCUCACAUCCGUCUACGGCUUUGGGUUCUACAGGUGAAUUGCAGCAUGGCAGAGAUGGCAGUCGGUGAGUCUUCAGGUGGAGUUAAGCUGUGGAAUAAUACACCACAACCACCAUCACCAUCACCUCACCGCCACCGCCACCGUCACCACUACAGACAGCGACUAGCAAGUAACGCCUCUUCUGAUAACCAAACACGACGCAUUUUUAAACUUUUCUUUAGCUUGGCUUCAU